Molecule: ribosomal RNA, 1453 nt
Filed under: uncultured organism
Description: SSU rRNA
Rfam family: Bacterial small subunit ribosomal RNA
Source: RNAcentral
GAUGAACGCUAUGCUACAGGCUUAACACAUGCAAGUCGAGGGGCAGCAUUUUAGUUUGCUUGCAAACUGAAGAUGGCGACCGGCGCACGGGUGAGUAACACGUAUCCAACCUGCCGAUAACUCCGGAAUAGCCUUUCGAAAGAAAGAUUAAUACCGGAUAGCAUACGAAUAUCGCAUGAUAUUUUUAUUAAAGAAUUUCGGUUAUCGAUGGGGAUGCGUUCCUUUAGUUUGUUGGCGGGGUAACGGCCCACCAAGACUACGAUGGAUAGGGGUUCUGAGAGGAAGGUCCCCCACAUUGGAACUGAGACACGGUCCAAACUCCUACGGGAGGCAGCAGUGAGGAAUAUUGGUCAAUGGGCGAGAGCCUGAACCAGCCAAGUAGCGUGAAGGAUGAAGGCUCUAUGGGUCGCAAACUUCUUUUAUAUGGGAAUAAAGUCUUCCACGUGUGGAAUUUUGUAUGUACCAUAUGAAUAAGGAUCGGCUAACUCCGUGCCAGCAGCCGCGGUAAUACGGAGGAUCCGAGCGUUAUCCGGAUUUAUUGGGUUUAAAGGGAGCGUAGGUGGAUUGUUAAGUCAGUUGUGAAAGUUUGCGGCUCAACCGUAAAAUUGCAGUUGAAACUGGCAGUCUUGAGUACAGUAGAGGUGGGCGGAAUUCGUGGUGUAGCGGUGAAAUGCUUAGAUAUCACGAAGAACUCCGAUUGCGAAGGCAGCUCACUAGACUGUCACUGACGCUGAUGCUCGAAAGUGUGGGUAUCAAACAGGAUUAGAUACCCUGGUAGUCCACACAGUAAACGAUGAAUACUCGCUGUUUGCGAUAUACAGUAAGCGGCCAAGCGAAAGCAUUAAGUAUUCCACCUGGGGAGUACGCCGGCAACGGUGAAACUCAAAGGAAUUGACGGGGGCCCGCACAAGCGGAGGAACAUGUGGUUUAAUUCGAUGAUACGCGAGGAACCUUACCCGGGCUUAAAUUGCAACAGAAUAUAUUGGAAACAGUAUAGCCGUAAGGCUGUUGUGAAGGUGCUGCAUGGUUGUCGUCAGCUCGUGCCGUGAGGUGUCGGCUUAAGUGCCAUAACGAGCGCAACCCUUAUCUUUAGUUACUAACAGGUCAUGCUGAGGACUCUAGAGAGACUGCCGUCGUAAGAUGUGAGGAAGGUGGGGAUGACGUCAAAUCAGCACGGCCCUUACGUCCGGGGCUACACACGUGUUACAAUGGGGGGUACAGAAGGCGGCUACCUGGUGACAGGAUGCUAAUCCCAAAAACCUCUCUCAGUUCGGAUCGAAGUCUGCAACCCGACUUCGUGAAGCUGGAUUCGCUAGUAAUCGCGCAUCAGCCAUGGCGCGGUGAAUACGUUCCCGGGCCUUGUACACACCGCCCGUCAAGCCAUGAAAGCCGGGGGUACCUGAAGUACGUAACAGGAAGGAGCGUCCUAGGGUAAAACUGGUAAUUGGGGCUA